GGAGGGUGCAAGCGUUAUCCGGAUUCACUGGGUUUAAAGGGUGCGUAGGCGGAUAGGGAAGUCCGUGGUGAAAUCCUGCAGCUUAACUGCAGAACUGCCGUGGAUACUCUCUAUCUUGAAUAUCGUGGAGGUUAGCGGAAUAUGUCAUGUAGCGGUGAAAUGCUUAGAUAUGACAUAGAACACCCAUUGCGAAGGCAGCUAACUACGUGAUCAUUGACGCUGAUGCACGAAAGCGUGGGGAUCAAACAGGAUUAGAUACCCUGGUAGUCCACGCCCUAAACGAUGAUUACUCGACAUUGGUGAUACACAGUCAGUGUCUGAGCGAAAGCAUUAAGUAAUCCACCUGGGAAGUACGAUCGCAAGAUUG
Molecule: ribosomal RNA, 367 nt
Filed under: uncultured bacterium
Lineage: Bacteria
Description: bacterial SSU rRNA
Rfam family: Bacterial small subunit ribosomal RNA
Source: RNAcentral